Long non-coding RNA from Homo sapiens (human), 605 nucleotides. RefSeq lists it as uncharacterized. The record is from RefSeq and is a predicted model, not a curated record. NCBI's taxonomy places the organism in Eukaryota, Metazoa, Chordata, Mammalia, Primates, Hominidae. The transcript has 3 exons.
UCUUUUUUUUUUUUUUUUUUUUUUUGAGACGGAGUCUCGCUCUGUAGCCCAGACUGGAGUGCAGUGGCGUCAUCUUGGCUCACUGCAGGCUCUGCCUCCUGGGUUCACGCCAUUCUCCUGCCUCAGCCUCCUGAGUAGCUGGGACUACAGGCGGCCGCAACCACACCUGGCUAAUUUUUUUUUUUUUUGUAUUUUCAGUAGAGACGGGGUUUUACUGUGCUAGCCAGGAUGAUCUCGAACUCCUAACCUUGUGAUCCGCCCGCCUCGGCCUCCCAAAGUGCUGGGAUUACAGGCGUGAGCCACCGCGCCCAGCCUCCAUUCUCCCUUUCUUAUGCCAAGCCAAAGGCUAUGUGCUGGAUGCCUGAACCUGCAGGACUUGGACAAGGUGGAGUUUCUCCCAACACUUUUCACAUAAAAGUUCCUAUGAUGACCCUGCCUUGAGGGCAGAGACAGAGGAUCUGGCUUCCAGUACUUGUUUGUCCCUUCCAGGCACCUAACAUGCUGCCAGGCACCCACUAGACAAUUGGUACCAUCUGCCCAUGAGGCCCAGCCUGUCAAGACAACCACAACCAGCACAGACCACACCAUCCUGAGGAGACCCUCAG